GCUUGACUUUGAAGUUGUAAUUUGUAAAUGUUAAGAAUGAGAAAAUAAGAAAGGAACUCAUUGAUUUUGUAAAAAAGUAACUUUAUAGCUUAUUUUUGUUUUUAAAAGUCUUUGAUCAUACGAGAGAUGUUCUCUAUAAAUUCAUUUAAAAGAUACAUGUGUGUGUAAAAAUAUAUAUAUACAUACAGAGGAGAUACACACACACACACACACACACACGUAUGUAUUUGGUGUUGGUGACAUAUUAGAGAAACUAUCUUCUAUUUAUUUUACAGCUCUCAUGUAAAAAAUACCAAAAGAAAUAGCAACCCUGGGAAUUUUCCAGAGCUAGUUUCCUUUCGGUUGGUGUGGCAUUCCUAAGUGUGCUGUAGGAAAUCAAUGGCCUGGUGCCUCUUCUCUGGAAGCCUCAGGGUGAUCAUUAUCAGCAGAGUGAAGGUUUGGGCCAACAUAAAAGGGAUAGUCCUUCUAAAUUAAAUUUAAGCACUGCUUCAAGCCUUUCAAAAUGACUUUUAACAAAUUCAUAAUAAUUUAUUUUUGCUAUUGGAAGAGACAGAAGAGAAUAAUCAUUGGAAAGGUCUAAGGCUCUGUGGCUCUUUUAGUGCACUGCCAUCUGGUACUUGUUGUACGGGGUGGAACUGGCCCUAGCUGGUUAGAUUCCUACUCUGUAUCAGCCCAGCUCCUUUUUUUUAAGUUGCAAACAGUAGGGGGCAAUGUUGAGCUGCCAUUUUGAGGCCCCAAGAUGCUAGCCUUUCAGGAAAAUGCAUACAAAUGUACCAUUAACUGUCAAGAAUUAUCCCUGUUGCUUCAAGUUAGCUGUAAUCUUCAAGAUUCCAUAACACAGGAAAUCAGUUGUGGGUUAACAAAUUCAACAGCAAUUUAACAUAAAAAGUGCAGUGUUUGGUGCACAUUUGGAUCCUAUAGAAUUAGACUUAAUCUAAACGGCAUUUCUGAAUGUACCAACUUUGCUUCCAGGGAAUAUACUACUCAAAAUUAUUAUCAUUUUAGACAAAUGAUUCUUUGUUAUCUUUAUGCUUUUUUUUGAAUUGUAAAAUCCAUGUGUGUGUUGCGGAAAAAUUUCUUUAAUCAAUGCAUUUUGUCUGUUCUGCAACAUAACAUCGAUCUCUUUUGGCGAGAAAAUAAAAUAAAAAACCUCAGGCAAUGUGUGCUUUACUUUUCC
This 1177-nucleotide long non-coding RNA is filed under the name Marmota monax (woodchuck). Lineage: Eukaryota; Metazoa; Chordata; Mammalia; Rodentia; Sciuridae. The record is from RNAcentral.